This is a non-coding RNA of Pelobates cultripes (western spadefoot toad), 346 nucleotides long. The record is from the annotation of a GenBank genome assembly. NCBI's taxonomy places the organism in Eukaryota, Metazoa, Chordata, Amphibia, Anura, Pelobatidae.
CAGGGAUCCCAAAACACACAACCCCAAAAUCAUCGGAACUGGGGGAUCUGGGUGAACCACAUAUCCAAAAUUCACCCAGAUCCGUUCAGUACUUUGGAAGAUACAGUUUAAUGCAGAUUCCGCAGAACAUAUGCAGGCUAUAUGAAAAACAAUUACUGUAUAAUGUGUCCCCUGUUGUAUAGUCCAAAACCACUGCACGAUGUCUCUGUGCACCAAAUACUGGCGAGAUUACACCGUGUUGAAAAGUCCAAACAGUGUAUAUGAGUUAAAAUGGCCACCAUCCAUUGUUCUCACCAUGUGCUUCAUCCAUUGUUCUCACCAUGUGCCUCUGAUACAUGAAAUGGUG